RNAcentral lists this ribosomal RNA (253 nucleotides) under uncultured bacterium. Its description in RNAcentral is "partial 16S ribosomal RNA". It matches the Rfam family "Bacterial small subunit ribosomal RNA", at positions 524 to 776 of the family's 1533-position model. The record is from RNAcentral.
UACGAAGGGUGCAAGCGUUACUCGGAAUUACUGGGCGUAAAGCGUGCGUAGGUGGUUUGUUAAGUCUGCUGUGAAAGCCCCGGGCUUAACCUGGGAAUGGCAUUUGGGACUGCAAGGCUUGAGUGCGGCAGAGGAGACUGGAAUUCCUGGUGUAGCAGUGAAAUGCGUAGAUAUCAGGAGGAACACCGAUGGCGAAGGCAGGUCUCUGGGCUGACACUGACGCUCAUGCACGAAAGCGUGGGGAGCAAACAGG